UCCCAAGUUCCCUUGGAGAUAGAGGCCACAUGACCUCGACCUGGCCAAUCAGCAGAGCCCAUUCUCUUCAGCCAUAGUGAUUGGCUGAGGUCUGGGCAAGUAACCAAUCGGGUGCCAAAGGUCAGACUUCCGGGUUGGAACCCUGGAGGAAGAGAAGCUCUCUUUCUGUCAGGUUGCUGGAGUGGUUGGUGCCAUCUUGUCACCUUGAAGGGAAAGCCCACCCAAGAAUGACACCAACAUAGAGGGAAGUAAACAGAGCCAAGAGGUCAGCAGAGGUGGUUCCUGGUGCCGUUAUCCAGCACCCAGCUACAGACCAGGCUCCUCGAGAUCAUCAGCCAGGACAGCUUCACCAGGGUGAAUGAAGUUCACCAAGUACCUUCUCACUGGGCAGCAGAACUCCUCCUUCCUCUAGAGUCUAUUCCAUGGGGUCACCCCAAGGUCAUCAAGCCCUUUCGACACCACAGACACUUUGUUCUUAGCCAUGGAGUACGCCAGCAGAACAAAGCUGGUCGACUACAUCCUGGAGUUGGGCUAUAUGAAGGCGGAAGAGGCCUGAAGCAAAUUCCAGCAGAUAGUAUCAGCCCUCUAGUACCACCAACAAAAGGGGGAUAUCCAUAGGGACCUGAAGCCCAAGAAUUUCCUUGUGGUCCAUCACAACAUAAAAAUAACAGACUUUGGAUUUGAUACCAGGUUCACUGUAGGCCAGAAGCUGGGCACCUUCGGUGGGAGUCCCUCUUAUGCGGUCCUGAACUCUUCCAUGGCCAAACAUAUGAUGGACCCCAGUGGACAUGUAGAGCUGGAAAGUCAUUCUUUACACCACAGUAACAAGGGCCUGACAUUUAUCAGGCAGAUUUUGUGGCGCUGAGGAAGCUGAUACUAUGUGAACAAUUGUACAAAAUCCCACUCUUCACUCUUCAUUUCCAGAGAGCUUCAUAAACCUAUUUCUGACCACAGGGAGAGGCCUAUACUAGACUACGUCAUGGAACACCUAUGGAUCAACACUGGUCAGGAGGACAUGAAGGCCAUACUAGGAGCUGCUCUCUCAUCACCAGGACUCCUGAAAGACAGAGCUCAUGGUGUCCGUGUGAUAUGAGGCAGACCACAUCUAGUCCUUGUUAGAAGAAAAAUUUGAUGAUACCAUGGCCUGGUACUGAAUGCUGGGCUCCAUCAUCACAGUGUAGUCUUUGCCUUCAGUGGAUCCCACCCAAUAGCCACUAGCCUUCCCCAUCACUUGAAAGAAACUCUUAUGCUUUAACGUACAAAACUUGUGAAGAACAUUGGGAAAAGGUGCA
This is a long non-coding RNA of Symphalangus syndactylus (siamang), 1292 nucleotides long. RefSeq lists it as uncharacterized. The record is from RefSeq and is a predicted model, not a curated record. Lineage: Eukaryota; Metazoa; Chordata; Mammalia; Primates; Hylobatidae.